Molecule: ribosomal RNA, 2982 nt
Rfam family: Bacterial large subunit ribosomal RNA
Source: Rfam
GGUCAAGAAUAAAAGGGCAUACGGUGGAUGCCUUGGCGCUAUGGGCCGAAGAAGGGCGCGGUAAGCUGCGAAAAGCUACGGGGAGCUGCAAGCAAGCCUUGAUCCGUAGAUACCCGAAUGGGGCAACCCGGCGGAGCAAACCUCCGUCACCCUAUGCUGAACACAUAGGCAUAGAGGAGGGCACCCGGGGAACUGAAACAUCUAAGUACCCGGAGGAAAAGAAAGAAACAUCGAACCCCUCAGUAGCGGCGAGCGAACAGGGGCGAGCCUAAACCAGAUUUCUUCGGAAAUCUGGGGUUGCGGGACCCUCAUCACGUGAAGACUAGACCUAGCCGAAGACACCUGGAAAGGUGCUGCGCAGAAGGUAAAACACCUGUAGGCGAAAGGUCGAAAUUUGCAGAGGAAAUCCCAAGUACCGCAGGACACGUGAAACCCUGUGGGAAUCCGGGGGGACCACCCCCCAAGGCUAAAUACCCAUAGCGACCGAUAGUGAACAAGUACCGUGAGGGAAAGGUGAAAAGCACCCCGGGAGGGGAGUGAAAAAGAACCUGAAACCGUAUGCUUACAAGCUGUCAGAGCACGGUUAAAGUGUGAUGGCGUACUUUUUGUAGAACGGACCGGCGAGUUACAUCUAACGUGCAGGUUAAGUUUAAAAAGACGGAGCCAUAGCGAAAGCGAGUCUUAAUAGGGCGCAAUGUACGUUGGAGUAGACCCGAAACCUGGUGAUCUACCCAUGUCCAGAGUGAAGCUUUAGUAAAAUAAAGUGGAGGCUCGAACCGACCUUCGUUGAAAAGGAGGCGGAUGAGGUGUGGGUAGGGGUGAAAUGCCAAUCGAACCAGGAGAUAGCUGGUUCUCCCCGAAAUAGCUUUAGGGCUAGCCUCGGUUUGAGGUAUACGGAGGUAGAGCACUGAAUGGGCUAGGGGCCUUCACGGGUUACCGAACCCAAUCAAACUCCGAAUGCCGUAAUACCAUGACCGGGAGUCAGACUGCGGGUGCUAAGAUUCGUAGUCAAGAGGGAAACAGCCCAGACCAACAGCUAAGGUCCCCAAGACAUGCUAAGUGGAAAAGGAUGUGGGGUUGCAGAGACAACCAGGAUGUUGGCUUAGAAGCAGCCACCAUUUAAAGAGUGCGUAAUAGCUCACUGGUCAAGUGGCCCUGCGCCGAAAAUGAAACGGGGCUAAGCAUGACACCGAAGCUUUGGAUUCUCGAGGUUCGAUGUUCGAGAUUCGAUGUUCGGAACUUCGAAUAUCGAACUUCGAGAAUGGUAGGGGAGCGUUCCUAGUUCGUAGAAGUCGUACCGAAAGGAGCGGUGGAGGACUAGGAAGUGAGAAUGCCGGUAUGAGUAAGCGAAAAGGCAGGUGAGAAUCCUGCCCGCCGAAAACCUAAGGUUUUCUGGGGAAGGUUCGUCCGCCCAGAGUAAGUCGGGACCUAAGCCGAGGCCGCAAGGCGUAGGCGAUGGACAAUCGGUUGAGAAUCCGAUACCACCAAUAACCGUUUGAGGAUGGAGUGACGCAGGAGGGUAGGUUAAGCCAGCGGAUGGAAAAGCUGGUCCAAGCCAGUAGGGAGUGUGGUAGGCAAAUCCGCCACACAUAAUCCUGAGAGGUGACGGGGAGCGAAAAAUAGUAGCGAAGUAACUGAUCCCAAACUGCCAAGAAAAGCUUCUAACGAGGUAGAUUGGUGCCCGUACCGCAAACCGACACAGGUAGGUGGGGUGAAAAUCCUAAGGCGCGCGAGAGAACCCUCGUUAAGGAACUCGGCAAAAUGACCCCGUAACUUCGGGAGAAGGGGUGCCUCGUUAUCGUGAAAGAAAAGCUUCUGGAGCGAGAAGAGGCCGCAGAGAAAAGGCCCAAGCGACUGUUUACCAAAAACACAGGUCCCUGCUAAAGCGAAAGCUGACGUAUAGGGGCUGACGCCUGCCCGGUGCUGGAAGGUUAAGGGGAAAUGUUAGCGCAAGCGAAGCAUAGAACCGAAGCCCCAGUAAACGGCGGCCGUAACUAUAACGGUCCUAAGGUAGCGAAAUUCCUUGUCAGGUAAGUUCUGACCCGCACGAAAGGCGUAACGAUUUGGGCACUGUCUCAACGAGGGGCUCGGUGAAAUUGUAAUGACGGUGAAGAUGCCGUCUACCUGCGACAGGACAGAAAGACCCCGUGGAGCUUUACUGUAGCUUGACAUUGGGUUUUGGUAUUUGAUGUACAGGAUAGGUGGGAGACUUGGAAAUCGGGACGCCAGUUUCGAUGGAGUCGCCGUUGGGAUACCACCCUUUAGAUAUUGAAAUUCUAACUUAAUGCCUUGAAGCAGGUAUAAGGACAGUGUCAGGUGGGCAGUUUGACUGGGGCGGUCGCCUCCCAAAAGGUAACGGAGGCGCCCAAAGGUUCCCUCAGCGCGGACGGAAAUCGCGCGUUAGAGUGCAAAGGCAAAAGGGAGCUUGACAGCGAGACCAACAAGUCGAGCUGGUACGAAAGUAGGGCUUAGUGAUCCGGCGGUUCUGAGUGGAAGGGCCGUCGCUCAACGGAUAAAAGCUACCCCGGGGAUAACAGGCUUAUCUCCCCCAAGAGUCCACAUCGACGGGGAGGUUUGGCACCUCGAUGUCGGCUCAUCGCAUCCUGGGGCUGAAGUAGGUCCCAAGGGUUGGGCUGUUCGCCCAUUAAAGCGGUACGUGAGCUGGGUUCAGAACGUCGUGAGACAGUUCGGUCCCUAUCCGUCGCAGGCGCAGGAAACUUGAGAAGAGCUGUCCCUAGUACGAGAGGACCGGGAUGGACGGAUCACUGGAGUACCAGCUAUCGUGCCAACGGUAGCGCUGGGUAACUAUAUCCGGACGGGAUAAGUGCUGAAAGCAUCUAAGCACGAAGCCCCCUUCAAGAUGAGGUUUCCCACUACGCAAGUAGGUAAGAUCCCAUGCAGACUACGUGGUAGAUAGGCCGGGUGUGUAAGCACAGUAAUGUGUUGAGCUGACCGGUACUAAUAGAUCGAGGUCUUGACCAA